RNAcentral lists this ribosomal RNA (372 nucleotides) under uncultured bacterium. RNAcentral describes it as "bacterial SSU rRNA". It matches the Rfam family "Bacterial small subunit ribosomal RNA", at positions 525 to 896 of the family's 1533-position model. The record is from RNAcentral.
ACAGAGGGUGCGAGCGUUAAUCGGAAUUACUGGGCGUAAAGCGCACGUAGUCGGCUUGUCAAGUCGGGUGUGAAAUCCCCGGGCUCAACCUGGGAACUGCAUCCGAGACUGACUUGCUAGAGUAUGGGAGAGGGAAGCGGAAUUUCUGGUGUAGCAGUGAAAUGCGUAGAUAUCAGAAGGAACAUCAGUGGCGAAGGCGGCUUCCUGGACCAAUACUGACGAUCAGGUGCGAAAGCGUGGGGAGCAAACAGGAUUAGAUACCCUGGUAGUCCACGCCCUAAACGAUGACAACUGGAUGUCGGGAGGGUUUGCCUUCCGGUGUCGUAGCUAACGCGUUAAGUUGUCCGCCUGGGAAGUACGGCCGCAAGGUUG